This 79-nucleotide transfer RNA is filed under the name Francisella tularensis subsp. holarctica OSU18. RNAcentral's name for it is "tRNA-Arg". It matches the Rfam family "tRNA". From Rfam's summary of the family: Transfer RNA (tRNA) molecules are approximately 80 nucleotides in length. Their secondary structure includes four short double-helical elements and three loops (D, anti-codon, and T loops). Lineage: Bacteria; Pseudomonadati; Pseudomonadota; Gammaproteobacteria; Thiotrichales; Francisellaceae. The record is from RNAcentral.
UACACCCAUAGCUCAACUGGAUAGAGUACUCGGCUACGAACCGAGCGGUUAGGGGUUCGAAUCCCUUUGGGUGUGCCAU